RNAcentral lists this ribosomal RNA (492 nucleotides) under uncultured bacterium. RNAcentral describes it as "partial 16S ribosomal RNA". It matches the Rfam family "Bacterial small subunit ribosomal RNA", at positions 29 to 507 of the family's 1533-position model. The record is from RNAcentral.
AGUGAACGCUGGCGGUAGGCCUAACACAUGCAAGUCGAACGGCAGCACAGUAAGAGCUUGCUCUUACGGGUGGCGAGUGGCGGACGGGUGAGGAAUACAUCGGAAUCUACUCUUUCGUGGGGGAUAACGUAGGGAAACUUACGCCAAUACCGCAUCCCACCUACGGGGGAAAGCGGGGGAUCUUCGGACCUGGUGGGAUUGAAUGAGCGGAUGUCGGAUUAGCUAGUUGGCGGGUUAAAGGCCCACCAAGGCGACGAUCCGUAGCUGGUCUGAGAGGAUGAUAAGCCACACUGGAACUGAGACACGGUCCAGACUCCUACGGGAGGCAGCAGUGGGGAAUAUUGGACAAUGGGCGCAAGCCUGAUCCAGCCAUACCGAGUGGGUGAAGAAGGCCUUCGGGUUGUAAAGCCCUUUUGUUGGGAAAGAAAAGCAGCAGGUUAAUACCCCGCUGUUCUGACGGUACCCAAAGAAUAAGCACCGGCUAACUUCGUG